GUGGGGAAUUUUGGACAAUGGGGGCAACACUGAUCCAGCCAUGCCGCGUGCGGGAAGAAGGCCUUCGGGUUGUAAACCGCUUUUGUCAGGGAAGAAAUCCUUUGGGUUAAUACCUCGGAGGGAUGACGGUACCUGAAGAAUAAGCACCGGCUAACUACGUGCCAGCAGCCGCGGUAAUACGUAGGGUGCAAGCGUUAAUCGGAAUUACUGGGCGUAAAGCGUGCGCAGGCGGUUUUGUAAGACAGAGGUGAAAUCCCCGGGCUCAACCUGGGAACUGCCUUUGUGACUGCAAGGCUGGAGUGCGGCAGAGGGGGAUGGAAUUCCGCGUGUAGCAGUGAAAUGCGUAGAUAUGCGGAGGAACACCGAUGGCGAAGGCAAUCCCCUGGGCCUGCACUGACGCUCAUGCACGAAAGCGUGGGGAGCAAACAGGAUUAGAUACCCCAGUAGUCC
RNAcentral lists this ribosomal RNA (450 nucleotides) under uncultured bacterium. RNAcentral's name for it is "partial 16S ribosomal RNA". It matches the Rfam family "Bacterial small subunit ribosomal RNA", at positions 354 to 796 of the family's 1533-position model. The record is from RNAcentral.